This 492-nucleotide ribosomal RNA is filed under the name uncultured bacterium. Its description in RNAcentral is "partial 16S ribosomal RNA". It matches the Rfam family "Bacterial small subunit ribosomal RNA", at positions 29 to 507 of the family's 1533-position model. The record is from RNAcentral.
AGUGAACGCUGGCGGUAGGCCUAACACAUGCAAGUCGAACGGCAGCACAGUAAGAGCUUGCUCUUACGGGUGGCGAGUGGCGGACGGGUGAGGAAUACAUCGGAAUCUACUUUUUCGUGGGGGAUAACGUAGGGAAACUUACGCUAAUACCGCAUACGACCUACGGGUGAAAGCAGGGGAUCUUCGGACCUUGCGCGAUUGAAUGAGCCGAUGUCGGAUUAGCUAGUUGGCGGGGUAAAGGCCCACCAAGGCGACGAUCCGUAGCUGGUCUGAGAGGAUGAUCGGCCACACUGGAACUGAGACACGGUCCAGACUCCUACGGGAGGCAGCAGUGGGGAAUAUUGGACAAUGGGGGCAAGCCUGAUCCAGCCAUACCGCGUGGGUGAAGAAGGCCUUCGGGUUGUAAAGCCCUUUUGUUGGGAAAGAAAAGCAGCAGGUUAAUACCACGCUGUUCUGACGGUACCCAAAGAAUAAGCACCGGCUAACUUCGUG